Molecule: ribosomal RNA, 496 nt
Filed under: uncultured bacterium
Lineage: Bacteria
Description: partial 16S ribosomal RNA
Rfam family: Bacterial small subunit ribosomal RNA
Source: RNAcentral
GAUGAACGCUGGCGGCGUGCCUAAUACAUGCCAGUCGAGCGAACAGACGAGGAGCUUGCUCCUCUGACGUUAGCGGUGGACGGGUGAGUAACACGUGGAUAACCUACCUAUAAGACUGGGAUAACUUCGGGAAACCGGAGCUAAUACCGGAUAACAUGUUGAACCGCAUGGUUCAACAGUGAAAGACGGUCUUGCUGUCACUUAUAGAUGGAUCCGCGCCGCAUUAGCUAGUUGGUAAGGUAACGGCUUACCAAGGCAACGAUGCGUAGCCGACCUGAGAGGGUGAUCGGCCACACUGGAACUGGGACACGGUCCAGACUCCUACGGGAGGCAGCAGUAGGGAAUCUUCCGCAAUGGGCGAAAGCCUGACGGAGCAACGCCGCGUGAGUGAAGAAGGUCUUCGGUUCGUAAAACUCUGUUAUUAGGGAAGAACAAAUGUGUAAGUAACUAUGCACGUCUUGACGGUACCUAAUCAGAAAGCCACGGCUAACUACGU